Molecule: ribosomal RNA, 253 nt
Filed under: uncultured bacterium
Lineage: Bacteria
Description: partial 16S ribosomal RNA
Rfam family: Bacterial small subunit ribosomal RNA
Source: RNAcentral
UACAGAGGAUGCAAGCGUUAUCCGGAAUCACUGGGCAUAAAGCGUCUGUAGGUGGUUUAAUAAGUCUGCUGUUAAAGACUAGGGCUUAACCCUAGGAAAGCAGUGGAAACUGUUAGACUUGAGUAUGGUAGAGGUACAGGGAAUUCCUAGUGUAGCGGUGAAAUGCGUAGAUAUUAGGAAGAACACCAAUGGCGAAAGCACUGUACUGGGCCACAACUGACACUGAGAGACGACAGCUAGGGGAGCAAAUGGG